GACCGUGUGUUCUACACAUGAAUUUGCGCAUAGCCCUCUCCAUCCCCAUCAGUGUUGGUGCCGUGUUUACAAAAUUUUCCUUUGUUUGCUGUUAGAACUGUCAUAUUUUUCUUGUUUGCUGUUAGAAAACAACAAACAAUCCGUUGAUACACUAAGAAAAAUAUCGCAAUUUUUAACUAGACAUCAGGUGAAAAUGAAAAUUUUCAUUUUGAUUCAGUGUGCAGCGAAAAAAAAAUACUCUGUGAUAGUGUUGGUAAAAUCUGUUUAGAGACCUCAAUGUUGUCAAUACAAAUCAAUAUCACGUGUAAAACAGAUGACAUGGCUCAUUCAAAACUGAGCAUUUUUUUAUAAACAAACCACACGGUAUUAACGUGUAAAGCAAAUCGAAUUCGGUUGCUCGACUUGUCAUAGUCGCUUGUUUGAUAUAUGAUAUCUAAGAAUAAUUGUGUUGAUUUUCAUUUGAAUUGUGAGUGAAUUUCGUGUUUUCUUUCACAUUUUAAUAAUGAUAAUGAUUGCAUAUCCGUCCGGAUUCCGAUUUCCGUCAUCGGAUCGAAAUCCAUUUCAAGAAACAUAGUUUUCCUAUAACUUCGACGAAUCAACGGUGGAAGUAUAGAAAAACGUCUCGUUGGUUUUCGAACCUCUGACGGAAAUUGAUAUCCGGACAGAUAGAAAAAAAAAUCAAGUUGGUAAAAAUGUAAUAUCCACAGUGGGAGGUUGCAUUUAUUAUUUUAAAAGAAGUUGAACCACGCCAACUAAUACUAUUUUACGAGCUGAGGCCGGCGAUUUUGUCUUCGAACAGAUCACAAAAAAAUCAAGUUACCUACAUCUAAAGAGCUGCUGCCGGAGAACAUGAUCGGUUCGGUGCUUAUUCCUGCUAGCAAGAAGCCGCCACGAAGUACAUACGUCGCAAAGGAUAGUCGGAAGAGGCCAGUAUUGACGAUGCGUCUUCGCCGUUUUGAGUAUAAUUCCAUCUUAUUUGAUCCUGCUGCUGCUAAAGCAGGAAGGGAACAUGCAAUCAAUUAGAAAAAGUACCAAAUUAGUAUGCUCUGAUGCGAUUCAACAUAAACGAGGAGCCACAGCAGGUCAGCUAGAUUUUCCAGAGCAAGAAAAUUUAUUUUAAAAUAUUAAUAUAUAUGUAUUAAAUUAAUGGGAUUCAACCGUAUAACGAAAGUCGUAUUCCGGAUAGAUUAAAUUAAACGAAAACAAAUUAUUAAAAAGAAGUAAAAAAUCUA
Armigeres subalbatus is the source of this 1232-nucleotide long non-coding RNA. RefSeq lists it as uncharacterized. The record is from RefSeq and is a predicted model, not a curated record. The transcript has 2 exons. NCBI's taxonomy places the organism in Eukaryota, Metazoa, Arthropoda, Insecta, Diptera, Culicidae.